This 208-nucleotide long non-coding RNA is filed under the name Homo sapiens (human). RNAcentral describes it as "HSALNT0254581". Lineage: Eukaryota; Metazoa; Chordata; Mammalia; Primates; Hominidae. The record is from RNAcentral.
GCUCACUGCAGCCUCCGGGGAGGCAGGACAUUUCUGAGGUCCACAGUGCAGGGCUUGGUACUCAGUAGGUGCCCAAUAAAUACCUGUUGCACGAAUGAAUGAAUGAAUGAAUGAAUGAAUGAAUGUUUUUGGUUGAGAGGCGGGACUUUGGUCUUCCCGAGCCUCCAUUUCUCCGCCAACAUAAAAUAAAAAACAUAAUGGCACUUUC